Molecule: ribosomal RNA, 380 nt
Filed under: uncultured bacterium
Lineage: Bacteria
Description: bacterial SSU rRNA
Rfam family: Bacterial small subunit ribosomal RNA
Source: RNAcentral
UGGGGAAUAUUGGGCAAUGGGCGAAAGCCUGACCCAGCGACGCCGCGUGGGGGAAGAAGUCCCUCGGGAUGUAAACCCUUGUUGUACGGGACGAAGGAAGUGACGGUACCGUACGAGGAAUCCCCGGCAAACUACGUGCCAGCAGCCGCGGUAAUACGUAGGGGGCGAGCGUUGUCCGGAAUCACUGGGCGUAAAGCGCACGUAGGUGGGCUGUUAAGUCGACCGUGAAAGGCACUGGCGCAACCGGUGUUUGUCGGUCGAUACUGGCAGUCUGGAGUAUGAGAGAGGGAACUGGAAUACCCGGUGUAGCGGUGAAAUGCGUAGAUAUCGGGAGGAACACCAGUGGCGAAGGCUUGUUCCUGGCCCAUGACUGACGCUGA